UACGUAGGCAGCGAGCGUUGUUCGGAAUUACUGGGCGUAAAGAGUGUGUAGGCGGUGUUCCCAGUCUGUUGUGAAAUCUCCCGGCUUAACUGGGAGGGUGCAGCGGAAACUAGAAUGCUAGAGGGUGGGAGAGGUAAGCGGAAUUCCUGGUGUAGCGGUGAAAUGCGUAGAUAUCAGGAGGAACACCUGUGGUGUAGACAGCUUACUGGACCACUUCUGACGCUGAGACACGAAAGCGUGGGGAGCGAACCGG
RNAcentral lists this ribosomal RNA (253 nucleotides) under uncultured bacterium. Its description in RNAcentral is "partial 16S ribosomal RNA". It matches the Rfam family "Bacterial small subunit ribosomal RNA", at positions 524 to 776 of the family's 1533-position model. The record is from RNAcentral.